This is a long non-coding RNA of Mugil cephalus (flathead mullet), 498 nucleotides long. RefSeq lists it as uncharacterized. Lineage: Eukaryota; Metazoa; Chordata; Actinopteri; Mugiliformes; Mugilidae. The transcript is spliced from 4 exons. The record is from RefSeq and is a predicted model, not a curated record.
AGUGACUGUUGGAUGUGAUCGCAGGUUUCUAUCUGUCAUCUCUCUGAGAGCAUGGGGAAAGCUAGCCUUCUGAGCAGGGAGCCGGGGAUGGACUGUGUGUCCGCAUAACAUUCAGCAGCUCGUUAGCGGCAGUAACAACUGUACACUAAGAGAAGAGGUGGCUGACUGUGACGGCCGGUGUAACUCGAUGGCCUCCCUGUUAACUGAGCUGGAGGUGUUGACGAUUAUGUUCUCUCUCCUGGUUUUCGCCCUCUUCACUCUUACUGGAAUGCUCAAAGAGGAAUGUGCGCACUCUGAUGAGGAUAAUGUGAAUCCACAGAGUGAGGAGGUGACAGUCUGACUUCCGACAAGACCUGGGAGUCAGAUCUCAGAUACUGCAGAGGGAACCAGCAACUCCUUCUCGCCGUUCAGUACAACAACGUAUUAAACACAGCCUCGUGUCUGUGUGUGUGUUCUCAGUUAAGAGCACAAGUCAAAGUCUAAAUGGUGACCUCUGAA